Molecule: transfer RNA, 81 nt
Filed under: Candidatus Omnitrophota bacterium
Lineage: Bacteria; Pseudomonadati; Candidatus Omnitrophota
Description: tRNA-Leu
Rfam family: tRNA
About the family: Transfer RNA (tRNA) molecules are approximately 80 nucleotides in length.
Source: RNAcentral
GCGGAGGUGGUGAAAUGGCAGACACGCAGGUCUCAGAAGCCUGUGCCGUAAGGUAUGAGGGUUCAACUCCCUCCCUCCGCA